Non-coding RNA from Paramuricea clavata, 1749 nucleotides. The record is from the annotation of a GenBank genome assembly. NCBI's taxonomy places the organism in Eukaryota, Metazoa, Cnidaria, Anthozoa, Malacalcyonacea, Plexauridae.
AAAAUGCCUCUUGCAACAAAGCUUUUUUUGAUGCUGUACUGCCGUUGUAUGAUAAAUUUUGUCGCAAAAGAAACCAAGACAAAUUACUUGAAGCAUUCUACGGAUUGAUCCCUAAUUCGAGACAAUAUUUAAAUUGUCCAGAUUCUAACGCUGCGAAUUUAAUUAUGAUAGAGAUACCAGAUCAUUUAGCUGGAUUUUUCAAGGUUUGCCAACAUCGUAAAAAGGCGACUACAACUAGUGAUUUAAAACUUGACCCAUCAGAACGUGGCCCUCUUUCCUACAUCGCAGGGUAUAUAGUUUCAAAGCUAUACCAGAAGACUAGAUCUAAGAAUCAGAAUGAAUGUGACGAGGAAUUGCAAGCUCUACUACAGGCCUUAAAGUCGACUGAAUCGGACAAUAAUUUUAUCCUUGCUCGUAGCAGAGGAGGUCUUGUUUCUCCUAGCCAUCAUCUUAUGGGUAUCGUGGAAGAAGCCGAGAUUUGCUUCAGGAAAAAUGUUGGUGAAGGCGAACUAGUGUUGAGAAAUAUACCUACCGAGAUCAUUUGCGAGUCAACAUUAAGCUCUCCGGUCGUCAAAUCACUGUGGGAGAACAUUGUGCUGGAAUCUGGCAUAGAAGAAUCAAGCUCUACGCAGAAGUUAUGCUUGGAAAACAUUGUGAAAUUGUAUAUUCGUGUUCGCUCAUUUUCCUAUGCAAGGGACUAUAUUAGCAAAUAUAAAAUAAAGGAAAAACAGACGAAAAGUAAAUCGUUACGAAAGGACUUAAAACGAAGCAAAAAUCAUUAAAUCACUGUGAUUAAUGCACCUAUCAAUGUUAAGCCCCAGAGGGGGGAGGGGUCUGGCAUAGGUGGGGCAUUUGAUUUUUUUAGCAAAUUUUCAAUCAAAUGCCCCACCGUCGGGCAAUAAAUAUUGGUCAAAUACUAUAUUAAUAAAAGUCAUUCGGUUCAAAUUGCCUCAACUCGGGGCCAAAAUGCUAAUCAAAAUCCCCAGGGUGGGGAUGCAAUUGAUGAUCAAAUACCCCACAUAUGCCCGACCACACACCCCCCCCUUCUGGGGUUUAACAUUGAUAUGUGCAUAAAUGAUAAACUAUAAGUUAUGAACCAUGUUACAAAUUACAAUGCCACAGUAUUAGAAACACGGUUUUUAAUAUGACCCUGUGUGAUGAGAAGGUUUUUAAUAUGACCCCGUGUGAUGAGAAGCCAUAGUUUAGAAGUUCUAUUCUUGGGUUUCAUAUGACGUCAUAAAUUUGACGGGGGGGGGGUCAACUCUAAAUCGAGACACAGUCAUCAGAGUGAAUUAAUUGUUCACUGUAUGUGUUGGCCUUGUGUUUGGUGGCAAAUAUGUGCAAUUUCGUAUCAUUUGCUCAGUACAGCAUAAGCAUCAAUACAUUUUAGGUUGACCCCCCAUCAGAUUCACUGCAAAAUGCCAUAGUAGAACCCCAAUCUCAUUCCCAGAGCCUCUGCGAUCCUUGGAAAGGAACAUGAGGCUCUGGGAUAAUCCAUUUCAGGGAGGAAUCUGAUUGGCCGUUGAUAUAGAAUGCGUAGUUUGGUCUUAGCCAGGAUUCCUGGCUUCCGGCAACGGAUUAUCCCAGAGCCUCACGUUCCUUCCCGAGGAUCGCAGGUUCAGGGAACAAGAUUGAGUAUAACCCAAGAAUUGCUUUCAAAUCAACAUGAAGUGUGAUCAUGUUGAACUUGCAUGCAAUAAAGUACUACCUCGUAUUACUCACUUGCAACAGCAGCCAUGUUCGUGCCAC